ACGAACGCUGGCGGCGUGCUUAACACAUGCAAGUCGAGCGGUAAGGCCCUUUCGGGGGUACGACGAGCGGCGAACGGGUAGAGUAACACGUGGGUGACCUGCCCUCAGCUCUGGGAUAAGCCCGGGAAACUGGGUCUAAUACUGGAUAUGACUCCAUGACGCAUGUUGUGGGGUGGAAAGCCUUGUGCGGCUGAGGAUGGGCCCGCGGCCUAUCAGCUUGUUGGU
RNAcentral lists this ribosomal RNA (225 nucleotides) under uncultured bacterium. RNAcentral describes it as "partial 16S ribosomal RNA". It matches the Rfam family "Bacterial small subunit ribosomal RNA", at positions 29 to 253 of the family's 1533-position model. The record is from RNAcentral.